GGAGGAAAAGAAACCAACAGGGAUUGCCUCAGUAACGGCGAGUGAAGCGGCAACAGCUCAAAUUUGAAAUCUGGAGCCUUCGGCUUCCGAGUUGUAAUUUGAAGAGGAUGUUUCGGUGCGACCUGGGCCUAAGUUCCUUGGAACAGGACGUCAUGGAGGGUGAGAAUCCCGUACAUGGCUGCAGGUUUGCUUCUAUGUGAAACUCCUUCGAAGAGUCGAGUUGUUUGGGAAUGCAGCUCAAAAUGGGUGGUAAAUUUCAUCUAAAGCUAAAUAUUGGCGGGAGACCGAUAGCGCACAAGUAGAGUGAUCGAAAGAUGAAAAGCACUUUGAAAAGAGAGUUAAACAGUACGUGAAAUUGUUGAAAGGGAAGCGCUUGCAAUCAGACUCGCCUUCAGUUGAUCAGCCUUCCUUCUGGUUGGUGCACUCUGCUGUUGGCGGGCCAGCAUCAGUUGGGGCGGUGGGAUAAAGGCAGCAGGAAUGUGGCUCGCUUCGGUGAGUGUUAUAGCCUGCUGUGUCAUGCCACCAGUCCCGACUGAGGUCCGCGGUUCGCCUAGGAUGCUGGCUUAAUGGUUGUAAGCGACCCGUCUUGAAACACGGACCAAGGAGUCUAACAUCUAUGCGAGUCUUUGGGUGUAAAACCCAUGGGCGAAAUGAAAGUGAACGGAGGUGGGAGUCUUCGGAUGCACCAUCGACCGAUCCUGAUGUUCUCGGAUGGAUUUGAGUAUGAGCAUAGCUGUUGGGACCCGAAAGAUGGUGAACUAUGCCUGAAUAGGGUGAAGCCAGAGGAAACUCUGGUGGAGGCUCGCAGCGGUUCUGACGUGCAAAUCGAUCGUCAAAUUUGGGUAUAGGGGCGAAAGACUAAUCGAACCAUCUAGUAGCUGGUUCCUGCCGAAG
Molecule: ribosomal RNA, 894 nt
Filed under: Arthrobotrys musiformis
Lineage: Eukaryota; Fungi; Ascomycota; Orbiliomycetes; Orbiliales; Orbiliaceae
Description: LSU rRNA
Rfam family: Eukaryotic large subunit ribosomal RNA
Source: RNAcentral